GACGAACGCUGGCGGCGUGCUUAACACAUGCAAGUCGAACGGUGAAGGGGUCUGCUUUUGUGGGCCCUGGAUGAGUGGCGAACGGGUGAGUAACACGUGAGUAACCUGCCCCCUUCUUCUGGAUAACCGCAUGAAAGUGUGGCUAAUACGGGAUAUUCUGGGUCUGUCGCAUGAUGGGUCUGGGAAAGAUUGCGCCUUUGGGUGUUUUUGGUGGGGGAUGGGCUCGCGGCCUAUCAGCUUGUUGGUGGGGUGAUGGCCUACCAAGGCGGUGCCGGGUAGCCCGCCUGGGAGGGUGGACGGUCACACUGGGACUGAGACACGGCCCAGACUCCUACGGGAGGCAGCAGUGGGGAAUAUUGCACACUGGGCGCAAGCCUGAUGCAGCGACGCCGCGUGAGGGAUGGAGGCCUUCGGGUUGUAAACCUCUUUCGCCAGUGAAGCAGGCCUGCUCCUUGUGGGUGGGUUGACGGUAGCUGGAUAAGAAGCGCCGGCUAACUACGUG
RNAcentral lists this ribosomal RNA (502 nucleotides) under uncultured bacterium. Its description in RNAcentral is "partial 16S ribosomal RNA". It matches the Rfam family "Bacterial small subunit ribosomal RNA", at positions 28 to 507 of the family's 1533-position model. The record is from RNAcentral.